RNAcentral lists this ribosomal RNA (253 nucleotides) under uncultured bacterium. RNAcentral describes it as "partial 16S ribosomal RNA". It matches the Rfam family "Bacterial small subunit ribosomal RNA", at positions 524 to 776 of the family's 1533-position model. The record is from RNAcentral.
UACGGAGGAUCCAAGCGUUAUCCGGAAUCAUUGGGUUUAAAGGGUCCGUAGGCGGUUUUGUAAGUCAGUGGUGAAAGCCCAUCGCUCAACGGUGGAACGGCCAUUGAUACUGCAAGACUUGAAUUAUUGGGAAGUAACUAGAAUAUGUAGUGUAGCGGUGAAAUGCUUAGAGAUUACAUGGAAUACCAAUUGCGAAGGCAGGUUACUACCAAUAUAUUGACGCUAAUGGACGAAAGCGUGGGGAGCGAACAGG